RNAcentral lists this unclassified non-coding RNA (240 nucleotides) under uncultured fungus. RNAcentral's name for it is "partial contains 5.8S ribosomal RNA, internal transcribed spacer 2, and large subunit ribosomal RNA". The stretch from base 1 to 52 matches the Rfam family "5.8S ribosomal RNA", at positions 103 to 154 of the family's 154-position model. Lineage: Eukaryota; Fungi. The record is from RNAcentral.
AACGCACAUUGCGCCCUCUGGUAUUCCGGGGGGCAUGCCUGUUCGAGCGUCAUUAACAACCCUCAAGCUCUGCUUGGUAUUGGGCCUCGCUGGUUCCGGCGGGCCCCAAAAUCAGUGGCGGUGCCAUCCGGCUUCAAGCGUAGUAAUUCUUCUCGCUGCGGAGCCUGGGUGCGCGCCUGCCAGCAACCCCAACUUUUCAAGGUUGACCUCGGAUCAGGUAGGGAUACCCGCUGAACUUAA